Molecule: ribosomal RNA, 442 nt
Filed under: uncultured bacterium
Lineage: Bacteria
Description: partial 16S ribosomal RNA
Rfam family: Bacterial small subunit ribosomal RNA
Source: RNAcentral
CCUACGGGCGGCAGCAGUGGGGAAUAUUGCACAAUGGGCGAAAGCCUGAUGCAGCAACGCCGCGUGAACGAAGAAGGCCCUUGGGUUGUAAAGUUCUGUUCUGAGGGAAGAAGAAAGUGACGGUGCCUCAGUUGAAAGCUCCGGCUAACUACGUGCCAGCCGCCGCGUCAAUACGUAGGGGGCAAGGGUUGUCCGGAAUUAUUGGGCGUAAAGAGUACGUAGGCGGUCUGUUAAGCGCAAGGUGAAAGGCAUAGGCUAAAACAAUGUGAGCCUUGGGCACUGGCAGACUUGAGUGAAGGAGAGGAAAGCGGAAUGCCUAGUGUAGCGGUGAAAUGCGUAGAUAUUAGGAGGAACACCGAUGGCGAAGGCGGCUUUCUGGACUGAAACUGACGCUGAGGUACGAAAGCGUGGGGAGCAAACAGGAUUAGAUACCCGAGUAGUC